AAUCUUCCACAAUGGGCGAAAGCCUGAUCGAGCAACGCCGCGUGAGUGAAGAAGGUUUUUGGAUCGUAAAACUCCGUUGUAAGGGAAGAACAAGUACAGUAGUAACUGGCUGUACCUUGACGGUACCUUAUUAGAAAGCCACGGCUAACUACGUGCCAGCAGCCGCGGUAAUACGUAGGUGGCAAGCGUUGUCCGGAAUUAUUGGGAGUAAAGCGCGCGCAGGCGGUCAUUUAAGUCUGGUGUGAAAGCCCACGGCUCAACCGUGGAAGGGCAUUGGAAACUGGGGGACUUGAGUGCAGAAGAGGAAAGUGGAAUUCCAAGUGUAGCGGUGAAAUGCGUAGAGAUUUGGAGGAACACCAGUGGCGAAGGCGACUUUCUGGUCUGUAACUGACGCUGAGGCGCGAAAGCGUGGGGAGCAAACAGG
Molecule: ribosomal RNA, 424 nt
Filed under: uncultured bacterium
Lineage: Bacteria
Description: partial 16S ribosomal RNA
Rfam family: Bacterial small subunit ribosomal RNA
Source: RNAcentral